GUCUUUGCAUAGUGGUAGUAUCGUAGUUUGUAAGGUUUAUCCAAGAUGCAAUUAUUGUUACUUGAAAAUUUUACCCAAUACUCCGCCUUACUGACUUGAAAUAUAGUCGGCAAUGGCAAUUUUAGUAGUCUCUCAGGAGA
Small nuclear RNA from Sphaeramia orbicularis (orbiculate cardinalfish), 140 nucleotides. Its record names the gene U4. It matches the Rfam family "U4 spliceosomal RNA". From Rfam's summary of the family: U4 small nuclear RNA (U4 snRNA) is a component of the major U2-dependent spliceosome. NCBI's taxonomy places the organism in Eukaryota, Metazoa, Chordata, Actinopteri, Kurtiformes, Apogonidae. The record is from Ensembl.